UUCUUGGGGAAAUACGAUAGUACUCGGAGUCUUCGGACAAAGAGAUAGUGCGCCUAAGGGCUUCCAAGAAAAACCUCUAAACUUCAGGUAAUUAGUACCAGUACCGUAAACCGACACAGGUAGUUGAGGAGAGAAUCCUAAGGUGCUCGAGAGAUUCAUGGCUAAGGAAUUAGGCAAAAUAGACCUGUAACUUCGGGAGAAAGGUCGCCAGCGCAAGCUGGCCGCAGUGAAGAGGUCCAGGCGACUGUUUAUCAAAAACACAGGGCUCUGCAAAAUCGUAAGAUGAAGUAUAGGGCCUGACACCUGCCCGGUGCUGGAAGGUUAAGAGGAGAUGUUAUCUUCGGAGAAGCAUUGAAUUGAAGCCCCAGUAAACGGCGGCCGUAACCAUAACGGUCCUAAGGUAGCGAAAUUCCUUGUCGGGUAAGUUCCGACCUGCACGAAUGGUGUAACGAUCUGGACACUGUCUCAGCCAUGAGCUCGGUGAAAUUGUAGUAACGGUGAAGAUGCCGUUUACCCGCAGUGGGACGAAAAGACCCUGUGCACCUUUACUAUAGCUUAGUAUUGACCUUGGAUAAAUGAUGUGUAGGAUAGGUUGGAGACUGUGAAGUGGCGUCGCCAGGCGUUGUGGAGUCAUUGUUGAAAUACAACCCUUUGUUUAUCUGAGGCCUAACCCCGUUUUGCGGGGGACAUUGCUUGGUGGGUAGUUUGACUGGGGUGGUCGCCUCCAAAAGAGUAACGGAGGCUUCUAAAGGUUCCCUCAGUACGCUUGGUAACCGUGCGUAGAGUGCAAUGGCAUAAGGGAGCUUGACUGAGAGACAUACAGGUCGAUCAGGUACGAAAGUAGAGCAUAGUGAUCCGGUGGUUCCGCAUGGAAGGGCCAUCGCUCAAAGGAUAAAAGGUACGCCGGGGAUAACAGGCUGAUCUCCCCCAAGAGCUCAUAUCGACGGGGGGGUUUGGCACCACGAUGUCGGCUCGUCACAUCCUGGGGCUGGAGAAGGUCCCAAGGGUUGGGCUGUUCGCCCAUUAAAGUGGCACGCGAGCUGGGUUCAGAACGUCGUGAGACAGUUCGGUCUCUAUCUACUGUGGGCGUUAGAAAUUUGAGUGGAUCUGAUUCUAGUACGAGAGGACCGAAUUGGACAAACCUCUAGUGUAUCUGUUGUCCCGCCAGGGGCACCGCAGAGUAGCUACGUUUGGAAGGGAUAAGCGCUGAAAGCAUAUAAGCGCGAAACCCACCACAAGAUGAGAUUUCUUUUAAGGAUCGUGGAAGAUGACCACGUUGAUAGGCUAUAGAUGUAAAGGCAGUAAUGUCAUAGUCGAGUAGUACUAAUAAUCC
Molecule: ribosomal RNA, 1333 nt
Filed under: metagenome
Description: bacterial LSU rRNA
Rfam family: Bacterial large subunit ribosomal RNA
Source: RNAcentral